AAUUCGCGUUCGUCAAAUUGAUUGGCGGUCACGUCGAGCUUCCAUAGCGUAGUAGUAAAACCUUCGUUACUGGUMAUGGUSGCGGCCACGCCGUUAAACCCCAACUUCUGAAUGUUGACCUCGGAUCAGGUAGGAAUACCCGCUGAACUUAAGCAUAUCAAUAAGCGGAGGAAAAGAAACCAACAGGGAUUGCCCUAGUAACGGCGAGUGAAGCGGCAACAGCUCAAAUUUGAAAUCUGGCUCUCGGGCCCGAGUUGUAAUUUGUAGAGGAUACUUUUGAUGCGGUGCCUUCCGAGUUCCCUGGAACGGGACGCCAUAGAGGGUGAGAGCCCCGUCUGGUUGGAUGCCAAAUCUCUGUAAAGUUCCUUCAACGAGUCGAGUAGUUUGGGAAUGCUGCUCUAAAUGGGAGGUAUAUGUCUUCUAAAGCUAAAUACCGGCCAGAGACCGAUAGCGCACAAGUAGAGUGAUCGAAAGAUGAAAAGCACUUUGAAAAGAGAGUUAAAAAGUACGUGAAAUUGUUGAAAGGGAAGCGUUUAUGACCAGACUUGGGCUUGGUUAAUCAUCUGGGGUUCUCCCCAGUGCACUUUUCCAGUCCAGGCCAGCAUCAGUUUUCCCCGGGGGAUAAAGGCGGCGGGAAUGUGGCUCUCUUCGGGGAGUGUUAUAGCCCGUCGUGUAAUACCCUGGGGGGGACUGAGGUUCGCGCAUCUGC
RNAcentral lists this ribosomal RNA (709 nucleotides) under Fusarium sp. RNAcentral's name for it is "eukaryotic LSU rRNA". The record is from RNAcentral. Lineage: Eukaryota; Fungi; Ascomycota; Sordariomycetes; Hypocreales; Nectriaceae.